Molecule: non-coding RNA, 2542 nt
Organism: Pelodiscus sinensis (Chinese soft-shelled turtle)
Lineage: Eukaryota; Metazoa; Chordata; Testudines; Trionychidae
Source: RefSeq, a predicted model, not a curated record
GAGCUCUGCUGACCCAGGCACUGAAAAAUCAAAGCUUCCGGGUUCCCCAUGUCGUCACGUCAUUCAUCAACUAUGGAAGGAGUUCUCGUUUCCUAGGCAGGCAGCCUUUCUGUGUCAGUGACAUUAUGCAAGGCGCCGGAGUGCUGAAACAUGGCCAUGCGUUCGUGUGAUACACAAUACAACGCAGUUUCCUAUCAGAAAUACAGAUUCUCUCCUCCUGAAAAUCUCCAAAAGGUCAUCUUCUCCUACCUGGAAGAAAAGAAAUUGGCGCCCAUGCGGCUGGCGGUGGACGUGGGCUGCGGGUCAGGACAAAGCACUUGCAUCCUUGCAGCUCGUUUUGAGGAGGUGGUGGGAACGGACAUCAGCGAGGCCCAGAUCCAGGCAGCCAAAGAAACGGCCUCCUUCCCAAACGUGUCCUACCGUGUGUGCCCUGCAGAGGAGCUGCCAUUUGAGGACGGCUCUGUGGACCUCGUUACGGCUUUUACAGCCGCCCACUGGUUUGACAUCCCGCGGUUCAUGAAAGAAGUGGAUCGAGUUCUCAGACCACACGGCUCUGUGGCCCUUAGCACCUACUCUCCCAACUUCAGCAUGCACUACAAAGACUGCUCGGAAAGACUCACAGAAAUCUUAACGGAGACCCAGGGCGUGCUUUUAAAAUAUGCAAAUGAAAAAGUAAAUCGUGUCAUUGGGGACUACAAAGAGGUGUUUGACUUGUUGCCUUUCCAGGACAAGCGGAGAUCCACAUAUUGAUCUAGCUGAAUAUGGGACUGCAGGAAGAACAACCAAGAAAGAUACACAAGAACGACAUCCAAACACCAAGAAAGAAAUGGUGAACCGGAGCCAUUGGGAGCCGUGAGGCUCCGUGGCUAUAGACCCAUUAGAGUCUCCGUCAACUCAGCAUUGGAAUAUCUGGACUGCAUCAUUCUAAUUGAUUGCCAGAGAGCCAGGAGCGCACUGGCCAUCGAAAUAGGCCCGGAAAUGGGUUGAGAACGGCCCUCCCCAGGAUGUCACCACUGCGUGCCCCUCAAGCCCCGCCCCCUGCGUCAUGUCCGGCACAGGCGGCAGGUCGGGCUCUGCUUGCAGCAUACAGCAUGGACAUGGAGCUGCUCAGAGUGAGGGGCAACGACCUGCGGACACGACGGCCCACCGGGAAAUUCCCGGUAUUCUACCAGGCUAGUCCACCCCUGCAGGCAGCUCACUUGAGUCUCAGUGUUUUUACCUGGGGUCCCAUAUUCAGCAUAAGGAAAUAUGGUCUCCCCACCUAAAAGUUCGAACUCAGCAUGAGUUCUGGGCCAAGAGCUGGUUCCCGUUUGGACUGAAGCGGUUUGCCUGUCCCAACAAAUGAUCUACCAAACUCAGCAUUGCUCUAGCAGUGUAAAGCGAUCUCGGCAGAAGUGAGCUUGUGGGAAAGCUAUAUUCCCUUAAAACAGCUGCAGUUGGAGUACACUGCCAUUGAAAGGGCUAGUGGAGGAAGAGAUAAUUGACGUGUCUCUUUAUGUUUUGUUCCCAUGUCUCCCCUGUACUCAGCCAAGUCUUCCUUUCAUGUCAAUGAAUUUCAUAUUUGCAUUUAGUUAAAUGCGUUCAGAUUUCAAGGGUACUUUCAACUCCUAGAAAGUCACAUGCUUCCCCAGGGAUGUGUAAUCUCCCAAUGAGAGGAAUAAAAAAAAUCCAUCCAUCAUUCCCGACCGACUUACCGGAGAUGACAGCUUCCCAGAAAUCGCUGAAAUUCAUGUGCAGCGGAGGCAUGUCGGCCGGCCCUCCAAAAGAAAGGAGAACUUUUGCAUAAGGAAUGUGUGGUCACUGUGGGAAAGCUUUGCGGUUCCACAUCUGUAAGGGACUGAUACAGCCGAGAGAGAGGGACAGAAUAACAAUCAGGAUCCUUUUUCUCUCAUAUCUGCUUGGAUGCUCCUGGGGAAAGCUACCAGCCAUACGAAAUAAGAUCCCCGGAUACCUUGGUGCCCCUUUUGGAAGGGACAUUGACAUAUGGUCUCACAAUCUGCUUGAGGUUUCAUACGGGGGAAACCGAAGCCACAAGGAUUGAGGUCCCAGGCAUUGGCUGGAAUCACCCUAGAUACGGAUUUUGGACUAUAACUGUGGCCUAAAGUUUAAGAGAACUUCUGCAAUGACAGACGCACCAUCUGUGUGUGUCUGAGUCUCAAGAACUGGACUCAUGUCUGUAUGUAUACUGAUCUUUAACCAGCACUCUCUUUUCUUUGUAUUGAUACAUUUUAGUUCAGUUAUUAAGAAUUAGCUCUAAGUGUGUAUUUGGGAGAAUGUCUGAAAUAUGACCUGGAAUGCAGUGGCGUAACGAGGGGGAGACUGGGAGGGGCAGUUGCUGCAGGCGCCAUGCUAGGGGUGGUGCCAAUUUAGUCCCCCUCUGCUUCCCCUGUCAUCCCUUGGCUCUCCUGCUCCUCGUCCGCCCACCACUGGCAGCCGGAGCCUUCCCUUCCGCCCCCAGCCCGACUCUCCUCCAUCUCCACUGGUGGGUUAGUGCGUGCGGGGGACUGGCCCCAAAUUGGAGGGGGUGGGGAAAGACAUGGUA